Molecule: long non-coding RNA, 201 nt
Filed under: Theobroma cacao (cacao)
Lineage: Eukaryota; Viridiplantae; Streptophyta; Magnoliopsida; Malvales; Malvaceae
Description: long non-coding RNA (TCAC_LNC003973)
Source: RNAcentral
UUUUCAUGAGGGAGGAAAAGAAUUCCACUGUAGAAGACUUCACAGCAUCCGGUUCUUUAAUCCAACUCCCAUCCGGAUUUUGUAUUUUAAAGAUAUGGCUUUUGAUUCGUUUCUUCUUGACCCGCAUGUGGAAAAAUUUGGUGUUACGCUCACCCUCCAUUAACCAAUUAAUACUAGAUUUUGGCUGCCAAAAUAAUUCUU